UGAGGAAGGUAUUGUUGUUGGUGGAGGGUGCACUCUUCUGAGACUGGCAGCUAGAGUUGACGCCAUCAAGGACAACCUGGAGAAUGAUGAGCAGAAGGUUGGAGCUGAAAUUGUAAGGAGAGCGCUGAGCUACCCGCUUAAAUUGAUUGCUAAGAAUGCUGGUGUUAAUGGAAGCGUUGUUACCGAGAAGGUUCUCUCUAACGAUAACUUCAAGUUUGGUUACAAUGCUGCAACUGGACAGUACGAGGAUUUGAUGGCUGCUGGUAUCAUUGACCCCACUAAGGUGGUGAGA
RNAcentral lists this unclassified non-coding RNA (292 nucleotides) under Hevea brasiliensis (rubber tree). Lineage: Eukaryota; Viridiplantae; Streptophyta; Magnoliopsida; Malpighiales; Euphorbiaceae. The record is from RNAcentral.